CCAGGACUUACCCUGAAAAUAUGGCCAUGACAGAGAUUCUGACUUCAAAGGAGCAUUUGUCUUGUGUGACAUCGUUCUGGCUGCCUUUUGGUUCAGAGGCACGUGCUCAGAGUUUAGUGAAAUGCUCACCAAAUCUGCUAGCAAGCCAGGCAUUCCAACCUUCUGAGAAAUCACCAUUGUUUUUCCCAGAUUUAAAGGGUCUUUCAGAGAUGCCUACGUGAUGGUGAAACAAAUGAACUCUGAUAUAAGGGGAGGAAAGAUGGCAAAGGGAGAAUACAAGAAGCAAGACGGAUGGAGCCAAGUUCGUGAUGCCUGACUUCAUACAUGGGGAGAAGAGAUGCCAAAGAGGAGACAGGAGGAAAGAUAAGUUGUGAACGGUGAAUGAAAACCGUGGGGGAGAAACACUGUAUGUUUCCUCUGAAGAAAUUUAUAUGGAGCCCUGUUUAUACACUGUCUUCUAAAGAAAUCAUGUUAUUUCAGUUCUCAUUUUAUGAGAAAACAAGAAGUUUUGUGAAACAACAUAUACAAAUUUUGGAUUUUUUUUUUUUAAUGGGGCUAGGGAUUGAACCCAGGACUUUGCACAUGUAGGCAAACAUUUCCCACUGAGCUCUCCUCCGCCCUAUACAACUUCUAAUAAUAGGUAAUUCCACAUCAACUCCCACUCUUAACCACAAUAGUGAGGGCAGUUCAUUCAAAUAUUUGCUGAGUGCUUCUGUGUGAGGUGCUGAGGCACAAACAUGAAAGUGAUACCCCAGAGGACCUGGCAGUUAGUCCCCUAAAAAACAGAGCUUCUCCGAGAUGUCCAAACUGGCCAGAGGUGGGUCUGU
Non-coding RNA from Ictidomys tridecemlineatus (thirteen-lined ground squirrel), 827 nucleotides. The record is from RefSeq and is a predicted model, not a curated record. Lineage: Eukaryota; Metazoa; Chordata; Mammalia; Rodentia; Sciuridae.